Xenopus laevis (African clawed frog) is the source of this 438-nucleotide long non-coding RNA. RefSeq lists it as uncharacterized. NCBI's taxonomy places the organism in Eukaryota, Metazoa, Chordata, Amphibia, Anura, Pipidae. The record is from RefSeq and is a predicted model, not a curated record. The transcript has 2 exons.
AUCACACUAAUAUGACUCACCAAUGUUGCUGCAUUUCUAACUGUAACUUCAAGAGGCCAUAUAUUAAACCUUGAUUUUUUUACACAGGAAUUGCCUUACAGAUGCCGGCUUGGAGUUGCCAGAGUAUCGCGAGAGCUGCGGCCAACACGCUACAGGAAAGGAUAUGUGAUAAUUGAAAACGUGUGUCGGGAAUCCAUUGUGUUGGAACAUACGGAGUGAAUUGACUAACAUUGGCAAAUAGACUUUACCAAGCAGGUACAAGAACAAAACAGGGCUGUUUUUUUAUAUUAUUCAUCAGUCGAUAUUUGCAGUUUGCAGUCUAGACAUUCAGUUGAAAGUGUUUACUGGAUAAGCACAACUCUUGAUGGUCAACUACUGACCUACUGUUGGACACAAUAUAAAACUUUCAUUAAUUUAAAACACUUUCAUUUUAAUAUA